UAGAGUGUAGCUCAGUGGUAGAGUCCUUGCCUAGCAUGUGUGAGCCCCUGGGUUCAAUCCCCAGUACUAUAA
RNAcentral lists this transfer RNA (72 nucleotides) under Heterocephalus glaber (naked mole-rat). It matches the Rfam family "tRNA". Rfam says of the family: Transfer RNA (tRNA) molecules are approximately 80 nucleotides in length. Their secondary structure includes four short double-helical elements and three loops (D, anti-codon, and T loops). Lineage: Eukaryota; Metazoa; Chordata; Mammalia; Rodentia; Bathyergidae. The record is from Rfam by way of RNAcentral.